AAAUCUGGCAUCGACCCUUUCUUUAAAAUCAGUCGUGCAAUUCAAUUCAACGAAUCACAUAAAACUUGGCUAACUAGAAAGUUAGACAAGCGUUAAGAAAACUUGCCUUUCAGCAUCUUCAGAUAAUUUAAUCGACUGACCAUAGCCUUUACAGAAUCUACAUGAUAUAUUCACAUAGCACACUGUAAUUAGCUAACAAACAAAUGUUCACAUUGUUCCUACCAACUUCUUUCUCUUCUAUAUUUUAGUUAACCUAAUAACUUUACUAAAGUCAACAUGACUCAUUACCCUUCAUCCCAGUUUAUUAAUCAACCAACGUUAUUAACCGAACUCGAGCAUUGUUGGCGAAGUACCAACACUGUUUACCGAUUAGGGUUCAUCAUUCAUAACCCAUUAACAUGCAUUCAAUCCCUAAGUUCAAUAUCAUAUACCUUAGUAUAGGUAGUAUAGGAAUAGCUUUAAUACACUUAUGAAGUGUACAAACAUUACCCCUAUAGGUCCCC
Molecule: long non-coding RNA, 503 nt
Filed under: Panax ginseng (ginseng)
Lineage: Eukaryota; Viridiplantae; Streptophyta; Magnoliopsida; Apiales; Araliaceae
Description: long non-coding RNA (PGIN_LNC005813)
Source: RNAcentral